UCCGAGUUGUAAUUUGCAGAGGAUGCUUCGGGUGCGGUCCCCGUCUAAGUGCCCUGGAACGGGCCGUCAUAGAGGGUGAGAAUCCCGUCUGGGAUGGGCGGCCGCGCCCGUGUGAAGCUCCUUCGACGAGUCGAGUUGUUUGGGAAUGCAGCUCUAAGCGGGUGGUAAAUUUCAUCUAAAGCUAAAUACUGGCCGGAGACCGAUAGCGCACAAGUAGAGUGAUCGAAAGAUGAAAAGCACUUUGAAAAGAGAGUUAAAUAGCACGUGAAAUUGUUGAAAGGGAAGCGUUGUCCACCAGACUCGCCCGGGGGGGCUCAGCCGGCACGUGUGCCGGUGUACUCCUCUCCGGGCGGGCCAGCAUCGGUUUGGGCGGCUGGUGAAAGGCCCCGGGAAUGUACCACCCUCCGGGGUGUCUUAUAGCCCGGGGUGCCAUGCAGCCAGCCUGGACCGAGGNCCGCGCUUCGGCGAGGAUGCUGGCGUAAUGGUGGUCAACGGCCCGUCUUGAAA
Molecule: ribosomal RNA, 507 nt
Filed under: soil fungal sp. DM2-202
Lineage: Eukaryota; Fungi
Description: eukaryotic LSU rRNA
Rfam family: Eukaryotic large subunit ribosomal RNA
Source: RNAcentral